Non-coding RNA from Acanthosepion pharaonis, 107 nucleotides. Lineage: Eukaryota; Metazoa; Mollusca; Cephalopoda; Sepiida; Sepiidae. The record is from the annotation of a GenBank genome assembly.
ACAGCCAUAUCACUUUGAAACACCGAGUCCCAUAUGAUUACAGAAGUUAAGCAACGUCGAGCCUGGUCAGUACCUAGAUAGAUGACCGCCUGGCAAAACCAGGUGCU